This 253-nucleotide ribosomal RNA is filed under the name uncultured bacterium. Its description in RNAcentral is "partial 16S ribosomal RNA". It matches the Rfam family "Bacterial small subunit ribosomal RNA", at positions 524 to 776 of the family's 1533-position model. The record is from RNAcentral.
UACGAGAGGCCCAAACGUUAUUCGGAUUUACUGGGCUUAAAGAGUUUGUAGGCGGUUCGUCAAGUGAGGUGUGAAAGCCCUCGGCUUAACCGAGGAAUUGCGCUUCAAACUGUCGGGCUCGAGGGAGAUAGAGGUGAGCGGAACUGAUGGUGGAGCGGUGAAAUGCGUUGAUAUCAUCAGGAACACCAGAGGCGAAGGCGGCUCACUGGGUCUCUUCUGACGCUGAGAAACGAAAGCUAGGGGAGCAAACGGG